UACGAAGGGUGCAAGCGUUACUCGGAAUUACUGGGCGUAAAGCGUGCGUAGGUGGUUCGUUAAGUCUGAUGUGAAAGCCCUGGGCUCAACCUGGGAAUGGCAUUGGAAACUGGCGACCUAGAGUGCGGUAGAGGGUAGUGGAAUUCCCGGUGUAGCAGUGAAAUGCGUAGAGAUCGGGAGGAACAUCCGUGGCGAAGGCGCUCUGCUGGACCAUAACUGACACUCAGGGACGAAAGCUAGGGGAGCGAAUGGG
RNAcentral lists this ribosomal RNA (253 nucleotides) under uncultured bacterium. RNAcentral's name for it is "partial 16S ribosomal RNA". It matches the Rfam family "Bacterial small subunit ribosomal RNA", at positions 524 to 776 of the family's 1533-position model. The record is from RNAcentral.